RNAcentral lists this ribosomal RNA (406 nucleotides) under uncultured bacterium. RNAcentral's name for it is "partial 16S ribosomal RNA". It matches the Rfam family "Bacterial small subunit ribosomal RNA", at positions 30 to 526 of the family's 1533-position model. The record is from RNAcentral.
AUUGAACGCUAGCGGCAGGCUUAACACAUGCAAGUCGAACGAGCGGCGGACGGGUGAGUAAUGUCUGGGAACCUGCCCGAUGGAGGGGGAUAACUACUCGAAACGGUAGCUAAUACCGCAUACCAUCAGAUGUGCCCAGAUGGGAUUAGCUAGUAGGUGGGGUAAUGGCUCACCAAGGCGACGAUCCCUAGCUGGUCUGAGAGGAUGACCAGCCACACUGGAACUGAGACACGGUCCAGACUCCUACGGGAGGCAGCAGUGGGGAAUAUUGCACAAUGGGCGCAAGCCUGAUGCAGCCAUGCCGCGUGUAUGAAGAAGGCCUUCGGGUUGUAAAGCACUUUCAGCGGGGAGGCGUUACUCGCAGAAGAAGCACCGGCUAACUCCGUGCCAGCAGCCGCGGUAAUAC